ACGUGGAGCAUUUCCCCAUGUGCUUGUUGCCCAUGUGUAUGUCUUCCUUGGAGAAAUUUCUGAUUUCUGUUCGUGUCUUCUGCCCAUUUCAUGAUGGGAUUUUUUGUUUCUUGGCUGUUGCAUUUAAUAAGUUCUUUAUAGAUCUUGGAUACUAGCCCUUUAUCUGAUAUGUCAUUUGCAAAUAUCUUCUCCCAUUCUGUAGGUUGUCUUUUAGUUUUGCUGACUAUUUCUUUUGCUGUGCAGAAACUUUUAUCCUGAUUAAGUGCCAAUAGUUCAUUUUUGCUGUUGUUUCCCUUGCCUUCAUAGAUAUAUCUUGCAAGAAGUUGCUGUGGCCAAGUUCAGAAAGGGUGUUGCCUGUGCUCUCCUCUAGGAUUUUGAUGGAUUCUUGUCUCACAUUUAGAUCUUUCAUCCAUUUUGAGUGUAUCUGUGUGUCUGCUAUAAGAGAAUGGUCCAGUUUCAUUUUUCUGCCCAUAGCUGUCCAAUUUUCCCAAUACCAUUUAUUGAAUAGACUGUGCUUUGUCCAGUGGAUAUUCUUUCCUGCUUUGUCAAAGAUGAGUUCACCAUAGAUUUGAGGGCCCAUUUCUGGAUUCUCUAUUCUGUUCCUUUGAUCUAUGUCUUUGUUUUUGUGCCAGUACCACACUGUCUUGAUAAUCACAGCUUUCAAUACAGCAUUGUGAUGCCCUGGGCUCUGGUUUUCUUUUUCAAUAUUCCCCUGGCUAUUUGGGGUCUUUUCUGAUUCCACACAAACCUUAAGAUGAUUUGUUCCAACUCUCCGAAGAAAGUCCAUGGUAUUUUGAUAGGGAUUGCAUUAAACGUGUAAAUUGCCAUGGGUAGCAUAGACAUUUUUGUAAUAUUUAUUCUUCCAAUCCAUGAGCAUGGAAUGUUUUUCCAUCUCUAUGUCUUCUUCAGUUUCUUUCAGAAGUAUUCUGUAGCUUUUAGGGUAUAGAUCCUUUACCUUUUUGGUUAGGUUUAUUCCUAGGUAUCUUAUGGUUUUGGGUGCAGUUGUAAAUAGGAUUGACUUCUUAAUUUCUCUUUCUUCAGUCUCAUUUUCAGGGUAGAGAAAUGCCACAGAUUUAUGUGCAUUCAUUUUGUAUCCUGCCACACAGCUGAAUUGCUGUAUGAGUUCUAGCAUCUUGGGGUAGAGUCUUUUGGGUUUUCUAUGAACAGUAUCAUGUCAUCUGCGAAGAAGGAGAGUUUGAAUUCUUCUUUGCUAAUUUGAAUGCCUUUUGUUUCUUUUGUUGUCUAAUUGCUGAGGCUAGGACUUCUAGCACUGUUCUGACUAACAGUGGUGAGAGUGGCCAUCCCUGGCGUGUUUCUGAUCUUAGGGGAAAGGCUGUCAGUUUUUCUCAAUUGAGAAUGAUAUUCGCUGUGGGCUUUUCAAAAAUGGCUUUCGCGAUAUUGAGGAAUGCUCCCUCUAUCCUGCACUUUGAGGAGUUUUGAUCAGGAAUGGAUGCUGUAUUUUGUCAGAUACUUUCUCUGCAUCUAUUGAGAGGAUCAUACCGUUCUUGUUUUUUCUCUUGUUGAUGUGAUCUAACACGUUGAUUGUUUUAUGAGUGCUGAACCAGCCUUGCAUCCCUGGAAUGAAUCCCACUUGGUCAUGGUGAAUAAUCUUCUUAAUGCACUGUUGGAUCCUAUUGGCUAGUAUCUUCGUGAGAAUUUUUGCAUUUGUGUUCAUCAGGGAUAUUGGUCUAUAAUUCUCCUUUUUUUGUGGGGUCCUUGUCUGGUUUUGGAAUCAAGGUAAUGCUGGCCUCAUAGAACAAGUUUGGAAGUAUUCUGUCCCUUUCUGUCCUUUGGAACAGCUUUAGUAGAAUAGGUAUUAUUUCUUCUUAAAACGUCUGAUAGAAUUCCCCUGGGAAGCCCUCUGGCCCUCUGUCUUGGGAGGUGUUGGAUGACUGCCUCAAUUUCCUUGCUGGUUAUUGGCCUGUUCAGGUUUCCUAUUUCUUCCUGUUCCAGUUUUGUUAAUUUGUGAUUUUCCAGAAAUGCAUCCAUUUCUUCUAGAUUGCCUAAUUUGUUGACAUAUAGAUGCUGAUAAUACGUUUUUCAAAUGGUUUGUACUUCCUUGGUAUUGGUUGUGAUCUCUCCUCUUUCAUUCAUGAUUUUAAUAAUUUGAGUCUUUUCUCUUUUCUUUUUAAUAAGGCUGGCUAAUGGUUUAUGUAUCUUAUUAAUUCUUUCAAAGAACCAACUCCUAGUUUUGUUGAUCUGUUCUACAGUUCUUCUGGUCUCUAUUUCAUUAGUUCUGAUUGAAUCUUUAUUAUUUCUCUUCUUGUGCUUGGUGUAGAUUUUACUUGCUGUUCUUUCUCCAAUUCCUUUAGGUGUGAGGUUAGCUUUAGGUGAUUUGAGUUUUUUCCAUUUUUUUUUUGAGAGAGGCUUGUAUUGCAAUGUAUUUCCCUCUCAGGACCAUUUUUGCUGUAUCUCAAAGAUUUUGAAUAGUUGUAUCUUCAUUUUCAUUAGUUUCCAUGAAUCUUUUUAAUUCUUCUCUAAUUUCCUGGUUGACCCAUUCAUCUUUUAGCAGGAUACACUUUAACCUCCACGUGUUUGAGAUUCUUCCAAAUUUCUUCUUGUGACUGAGUUCUAGUUUCAAAGCAUUGUGGUUUGAAAAUAUGCAAGGGACAAUCCCAAUCUUUUGGUAUCAGUUGAUACCUGAUUUGUGACCCAGAAUGUGGUCUAUUCUGGAGAAAGUUCCAUGUGCACUUGAGAAGAGAGAAGAGUGUGUAUUCAGUUGCAUUCAGAUAGAGAGUUCUGUAUAUAUAUAUGAAAUCUAUUUGGCCCAGUGUAUCAUUUAAGGCCCUUGUUUCUUUGGUGAUGUUCUGCUUAGAAGAUCUGUCAUUUGCAGAAAAUGCUGUGUUGAAGUCUCCUACUAUUAGUGUAUUAUUAUCUAAGCAUGUCUUUAUUUUAGUUAUUAAUUCAUUGAUAUACUUGACAGCUCCCACAUUAAGGGCAUAAAUAUUCAUGAUUGUUAAGUCUUCUUGUUGGAUAGACCCUUUAAGUAUGACAUACUGCCCCUCUUCAUCUCUUACUACAGUCUUUGGGAUAAACUGAUUUAUCUGAUAUGAGGAUUGCAAUCCCAGCUUUCUUUUGAGGACCAUUUGAAUGAUAAAUGGUUCUCCAUCCCUUCAUUUUCAGGCUGGAGGUGUUCUUGGGUCUAAAAUGAGUCUCUUGUAGACAGCAAAUCAAUGAGUCUUGCUUUUUUAUCCAAUCUGCUGAUGCCCUGCAUAUUUUGAUGGGAUCAUUUAGCCCAUUCAUGUUCAGAGUAACUGUUGAAAGAUAUGAAUUCAGUGUCACAUAUUACCUAUUUAGUCCCUGUUUCUGUGGCUUAUUUCUUUGGGCUUCCUCUUUCUUUUACGGGGUCCCCCUUAAUAUUUCUUGCAGAACCAGUUCGAUGGUCACAUAUUCUUUCAAUUUCUGCCUAUCCUGAAAGCUCUUUAUUUCUUCUUCUAUUCUGAAUGACAGCCUUGCAGGAUAAAGUAUUCUUGGCUGCAUGUUCUUCUCAUAUACAACCCUGUAUAUAUCAUGCCAGCCCUUUCUGGCCUGCCAGGUCUCUGUGGAGAGGUCUGCUGUUAAUCUGAUAUUUUCCCCACAUAAGUUAAGAAUCUCUUGUCUCACGCUGCUUUAAGAAUUUUCUCUUUAUCUUUGAAAUGUGCAAGUUUCAUUAUUGAGUAUCGAGAUGUUGAAUGGAUUUUAUUGAUGGGAGGGGGGGCUUCUAUAUCUCUUGGUUCUGAAUGCCUGUUUCCUUCCCCAGAUUUGGGAAGUUCUCAGCUAUGAUUUGUUCAAAUAUAUUUAUGGGUCUCUCCCUGUCUCAGCCUCUUCUGGAACCCCAAUCACACAUAAAUUCUUCCUUCUCAGGCUAUUAUUUAUUUCCCUAAUCCUUUCCUCGUGGGCUCUUAAUUGUUUUUCUCUUUUUUCCUCAGCUUCCUUCCUUACCAUCAACUUGUCUUCUAUGUCAUUCACUCUCUCCUCCACCUCAUUAAUCUUAGCAGUUAGGACGUCCAGUUUGGAUUGCAUCUCAUUUAAUCUGUUUUUAAUUUCAGCCUGAUUAGAUCUCAAUUCUUCAGUAAUGAAGUCUCUAGAGUCCCUUAUGCUUUUUUCCAGAGCUACCAGUAGCUUUAUAAUUGUACUUCUGAAUUGAAUUUCUGACAUCGUGUCAAUCCAAAUUCUGUAACUCUGUGGCAGACAGUAUUGUUUCUGGUUCUUUUAUGGUGAGUUCUUCCUUCUAGUCAUUUUGUCCAGUGCAGAGUGGCUGUAUGAGUGGUCUGAGUCAAAAAUAUCAACCAUGACCUAAGUAAAAUACACCUUAGAUGAUUCUGAAGAGGUCAGAGACCAGAAAAUAAAAGAAAAAGAAGAACAGAACAAAAUAAAAGGACCACUAAAGUGAAGAACAAAUUUUAAAACAAAGUAGUAAAAAUAAAAACCCAAAUACCAAAAA
This 4423-nucleotide long non-coding RNA is filed under the name Canis lupus familiaris (dog). RNAcentral describes it as "lncRNA (ENSCAFG00000052889.1)". The record is from RNAcentral. Lineage: Eukaryota; Metazoa; Chordata; Mammalia; Carnivora; Canidae.